GCGCUGUUAGCUCAGUUGGAAGAGCCGGGAACUCUAAAUUCCUGUGAGUCGUCGGUUCGAGCCCGACACAGCGCACCA
RNAcentral lists this transfer RNA (78 nucleotides) under Rhizobium phage RHph_I1_18. RNAcentral's name for it is "tRNA-Pyl". It matches the Rfam family "tRNA". From Rfam's summary of the family: Transfer RNA (tRNA) molecules are approximately 80 nucleotides in length. Their secondary structure includes four short double-helical elements and three loops (D, anti-codon, and T loops). Further hydrogen bonds mediate the characteristic L-shaped molecular structure. tRNAs have two regions of fundamental functional importance: the anti-codon, which is responsible for specific mRNA codon recognition, and the 3' end, to which the tRNAs corresponding amino acid is attached (by aminoacyl-tRNA synthetases). tRNAs cope with the degeneracy of the genetic code in two manners: having more than one tRNA (with a specific anti-codon) for a particular amino acid; and 'wobble' base-pairing, i.e. permitting non-standard base-pairing at the 3rd anti-codon position. Lineage: Duplodnaviria; Heunggongvirae; Uroviricota; Caudoviricetes. The record is from RNAcentral.